UCAGGUCGUAAUCAGACAAGAGAAUUACGACCAGUUCACAGUUGUCCUCACGGGAAGAUGCAGUCAAAGUACAUAAUUAUUUCAUAGAUUUAUGAGUUCCUGUUCUCUGUGAGAAGGUUUAUACGAACUAUGAAGAAUUAAAUCAGAUAAUGGAGUGUCAUCCAUGUCGUGAACAGGGUCAAAACGCAUCUGCAGAAUUUUUGUGCACCGAAUGUGAGGAAGCGCUUUGUGAAAACUGUUAAUUCUUACACAGAUCAUUCAAAGUUAGCCGAAAUCACAACGUGUCUGCAUUGCCACCCCUUUCAGGAAACCAAUCGCCCAACAAGCAGAUAGAACUGGGAGAUAAUGGAAAAGACAAAUGGCUCAUAUGUGAUGAACAUCAAGAUAAAUAUUUAGAAUACUUUUGUAUAAAACAUGACAAGCCGUGUUGUAUUCUUUGUAAACGACAAUACCAUAGGGAUUGUUGCGAAGUUGAAAAGAUUGAUGACGUUGUAGAUAAACACAAACUGGCAACUGCCACAGUAAACCUCUUAUCAGGGAUCGAAAAACACAAAAACGUUUUAACAAAAGCUGCAAACAAUGAAAUAUCACAUAUGGGAGAUUUCGAAACCAUAAAAGUUAAGUGUAUUAAAGAAUUAAAGAACACUAGAAUUACUAUUGAUAAGCAUCUAGAUUUUUUGCAAAAUGAGGUCGAGCAAGACAUAAACAAUACGUAUGAUAACGACAGUUUGGAAUUAAGCAAAAGGGUAAAGGAUCUUUCAGCCAAAAUAGAAUAUAUAACCGACCUACAAAAAAAUAUAGAUGACACUGCAAACCAAUCAAAGUUGUCUUUGGGACAAAAAUAUUUGAUGAUAAUGCAUAUGAAACAUUUGGAGGAUGGUAAUAUGGAAAGUCAAAAGACCCUACCAGAAUGCAAUUUGACUGGUAUCAGUAACUUCAAAUUGUCUUACGAGAAAACUGAAGAUAGUAUAACCAUACGAAUUAAUCGCAAUUUGCCGAUGACAGAUCACAAGCUAGAAAAAUCUCUUGAAAAUGAAGAUGAGAUUGAAUCGUGCUCUUCUGUAGUUGAACUUGAAGCAAACAAACCAGAAGCAGACAGUUUUGCAUUGCCUGAACCAGUUCCAGAUUUAACUUCUCCUCAGACAAAUGCGACUUCUAUGCCUGACUCAUGUCCUUCUACAUUGCCUUCAGAAUUGUCAUCAGUGUCAUCACCUGUGACAUUGUCGUCAUUUUCUGUAACUCAAACUACUCAGGUUCCUUGUGCAGCAGCCAGCGGAGAAGGUUCAACAUUCGAAUUCUUUCUCAGGAAUUCGUUUUUUAUUGAAAAAAGAAACAAAAAUAUUUGCAUUACUGAUGCAAAAUUCAUGCCAAACAGUUUUUAUAUAGCUAUAACAGAAAAAUGGAAUCCUAGGUUGAAAAUAAUUUAUUUGUUUCAUGUAAUGACCAUAACUUAAUUUGUGUAAAGCAGUCACUUCAUUCACCCACCAACGUUGUAUUAGACCGUUCAGAUGGCAUUGAACGACCAUGGAGUAUAGACUACGAUCUCAAUAAUGAUGAGCUGCUCGUGAUGAAUGAUAAUUCACGUUCAGUAUUUAUAUUCAAGAAAAAGUAACAAAGCCAAUGUUCAUAACGUUAAAUGCGUAUGACGAUCUUUACUGUGUAUAAUCAUUUCCGUGUCAAGUAAACUCGAGUUUUGUCACCUUU
Molecule: long non-coding RNA, 1704 nt
Organism: Mytilus californianus (California mussel)
Lineage: Eukaryota; Metazoa; Mollusca; Bivalvia; Mytilida; Mytilidae
Exons: 2
Source: RefSeq, a predicted model, not a curated record